AUUGAACGCUGGCGGUAUGCUUAACACAUGCAAGUCGAACGGAAACGAUACUAGCUUGCUAGUAGGCGCCGAGUGGCGGACGGGUGAGUAACGCGUAGGAAUCUGCCUGAUAGUGGGGGAUAGCCCGAAGAAAUUCGGAUUAAUACCGCAUAAUCUAUUCGUAGUAAAGUGGGGGACUUUCGAGCCUCACGCUAUCAGAUGAGCCUGCGUAAGAUUAGCUUGUUGGUAGGGUAAAAGCCUACCAAGGCGACGAUCUUUAGCUGGUCUGAGAGGAUGAUCAGCCACAUCGGGACUGAGACACGGCCCGAACUCCUACGGGAGGCAGCAGUGGGGAAUAUUGGACAAUGGGGGCAACCCUGAUCCAGCAAUACCGCGUGUGUGAAGAAGGCCUGAGGGUUGUAAAGCACUUUCAAUUGUGAAGAAAAGUUAGCGGUUAAUAACCGUUAGCCUUGACGUUAACUUUAGAAGAAGCACCGGCUAACUCCGUGCC
This 490-nucleotide ribosomal RNA is filed under the name uncultured Gammaproteobacteria bacterium. Its description in RNAcentral is "bacterial SSU rRNA". It matches the Rfam family "Bacterial small subunit ribosomal RNA", at positions 30 to 509 of the family's 1533-position model. The record is from RNAcentral. Lineage: Bacteria; Pseudomonadati; Pseudomonadota; Gammaproteobacteria.